RNAcentral lists this long non-coding RNA (209 nucleotides) under Olea europaea (common olive). RNAcentral describes it as "long non-coding RNA (OEUR_LNC008755)". Lineage: Eukaryota; Viridiplantae; Streptophyta; Magnoliopsida; Lamiales; Oleaceae. The record is from RNAcentral.
UUAUGGUGGUGUUCAAUAUUUAUUUUGGGUAAAAUUGUAGUUCUAGACAGUUUUACCCUUUGCGCAUUUCAUAUUCUUUUUUGCAUGAUUGGUUGUUGCGGGGUGUAUAGUAGUGACCCUAAAGUGGUAAAUUCCCAUCUCUUAUUAUUUACGGGUUGCGGGUCCACUCUAGUGUAUUAGCUUAUCCCGUUUAAAUUCUAACAUUAUCG